UGUGAACUUGGGGGGUCCCUCAGCCCAGAUUGCGAGAGAGUGCAGGCCAGGCCAAGGGACCCCACUGGUGCACA
This is a non-coding RNA of Myotis brandtii (Brandt's bat), 74 nucleotides long. NCBI's taxonomy places the organism in Eukaryota, Metazoa, Chordata, Mammalia, Chiroptera, Vespertilionidae. The record is from Rfam.